Molecule: RNA transcript, 6728 nt
Organism: Balaenoptera ricei (Rice's whale)
Lineage: Eukaryota; Metazoa; Chordata; Mammalia; Artiodactyla; Balaenopteridae
Gene: SLC7A1
Gene name: solute carrier family 7 member 1
Exons: 14
Source: RefSeq, a predicted model, not a curated record
CGCGGGGAGCGGGGCGCGGCUGAUGAAACCGGCUCCCGAUCCCUCCCGCUCUCAACGCUCCAUUCACUCCGCGAGGGCAGGUGUGAGCGGCAGGUCAGCUGCCGGCGGGGCGCGCGGCCACCUGGCGUCCGUUACCCGAGUCCCCCGCUCCUGCUCCCCGCGCGCCGCGCCUCCGCCCGAGCGUCCGUCAGUCCCGCCGAGCCUCGGUCUAUCGUCCGUCAGUCCAGACGCGGUCUUGCCUGCAUCCCGCCGCCCGCCGGCCCGGAGCCCGCAGCCCCGUCUCGUCCCUCCUGAGACGUCUUCACUCCAGGACCCAGGGAUCCUCGGGGGACGAGGUGACAGUCCUCACGUCACAGUGCAGGUGUGAGCCGCAGGAUGGGGUGCGAGGUGCUGGUGGGCAUCGGGCAGCAGAUGCUGCGGCGGAAGGUGGUGGACUGCAGCUGGGACGAGAGCCGGCUGUCCCGCUGCCUCAACACGUUCGACCUGGUGGCGCUGGGGGUGGGCAGCACGCUGGGGGCCGGCGUCUACGUGCUGGCCGGGGCCGUGGCCCGGGAGGACGCGGGGCCCGCCAUCGUCAUCUCCUUCCUGGUGGCCGCGCUGGCCUCCGUGCUGGCCGGCCUCUGCUACGGCGAGUUUGGCGCUCGGGUCCCCAAGACGGGCUCGGCCUACCUCUACAGCUACGUCACCGUGGGCGAGCUCUGGGCCUUCAUCACCGGCUGGAACCUCAUCCUCUCCUACAUCAUCGGUACUUCGAGCGUAGCCAGAGCCUGGAGCGCAACGUUUGACGAGCUGAUUGGCAGACCCAUCGGGGAGUUCUCGCGGACGUACAUGGCCCUGAAUGCACCCGGGGUGCUGGCCGAAAACCCGGACAUAUUUGCCGUGAUCAUAAUUCUCAUCUUAACAGGACUUUUAACUCUGGGUGUGAAAGAGUCAGCCAUGGUCAACAAAAUAUUCACGUGUAUCAACGUUCUGGUCCUGGGCUUCAUCAUGGUGUCGGGAUUUGUGAAAGGAUCAAUUAAAAACUGGCAGCUCACGGAGGAGGAUUUCCAGAACACGUCUAGUCGCCUCUGCCUGAACAAUGACACGGAGGAGGGGAGACCUGGUGUCGGGGGCUUCAUGCCCUUCGGGGUCUCCGGUAUCCUGUCGGGGGCAGCUACCUGCUUCUACGCGUUCGUGGGCUUCGACUGCAUCGCCACCACAGGGGAGGAGGUCAAGAACCCCCAGAAGGCCAUCCCCGUGGGCAUCGUCGCGUCCCUCCUGAUCUGCUUCGUCGCCUACUUCGGGGUGUCGGCCGCCCUCACGCUCAUGAUGCCGUACUUCUGCCUGGACAAGGACAGCCCCCUGCCAGACGCCUUCAAGUACGUGGGCUGGGAGGGCGCCAAGUACGCAGUGGCCAUCGGCUCCCUCUGUGCCCUUUCCACCAGCCUUUUAGGGUCCAUGUUUCCCAUGCCUCGAGUUAUCUAUGCCAUGGCUGAAGAUGGGCUGCUGUUUAAAUUUUUGGCCCAGAUCAACAAUAGGACCAAAACACCAAUAAUCGCCACGUUAACCUCAGGUGCCAUUGCUGGCGUGAUGGCCUUCCUCUUCGACCUGAAGGACUUGGUGGACCUCAUGUCCAUUGGCACUCUCCUGGCCUACUCUCUGGUGGCCGCCUGUGUGUUGGUCUUACGGUAUCAACCAGAGCAGCCUAACAUGGUAUACCAGAUGGCCAGGACCAGUGACGAGCUCGACCCAGUCUACCAGAACGAGUUGGUGAGCACCAGCGAUUCCCAGACGGGCUUUUUACCAGAAGCAGAAAAGUUUUCUCUGAAAACCAUACUCUCACCCAGAAAUACAGAGCCUUCCAAAUUCUCUGGGCUCAUUGUGAACAUCUCAACCAGCCUCAUAGCCCUGCUGGUCGUCACCUUCUGCACGGUGGCUGUGCUUGGCAAGGGGGCCCUGGUAAAUGGGGAGCUGUGGGCAGUCUUCGUGCUCAUGGGCUCCGCCUUCCUCUGCUGCGUGGUCACAGCCGUCAUCUGGCGGCAGCCCGAGAGCAAGACCAAGCUCUCGUUCAAGGUGCCCUUCUUGCCCGUCCUUCCCGUCCUGAGCAUCUUUGUGAACGUCUAUCUCAUGAUGCAGCUGGACCAAGGCACAUGGGUCCGGUUUGCAGUGUGGAUGCUGAUAGGCUUCUUCAUCUACUUUGGCUACGGUCUCCGGCACAGCGAGGAGGCGUCCCUGGCCGCCGACCCAGCAAGGACUCCUGACGGUCACUUGGACCAUUGCAAGUGACGCACAGCCCUGCCCCCAAGGCCCCGGCAGCACCUCGCCCCCCUCGCGCACCCACAGAGCACAGUUGCCACGACGGGGUGGCCCGCGACCCGCGUGUCCUGCUCAGGCCGGCUCGCUGGGCCCGUCCCCUGGCAGCUCCCAGCUGGGGCCACGGGGCCGAGGCUGCCCACCUGCCUCUGAGCCUCUCCCUGAGCAAGACGGCAGCCCUUCUCCUCGCCGGCCGGGCGCCCCUGCUGCUGCGGCCUCGGGCAGAAUGGAGGUCAUCUUCUCUCGUCACCUGAGCGGUCCGGCCUCCCUUCCAGGGACUGUGCUGGACACUCCGGUCCCCGCCUCCCCGCCCGGCCCCGAAGAGCCGCCCCGGAUGCCAGCUGAGCACCACGACACGGUCUGUCCCCAGCUGUGCCACCCCAAGCCUGAGGACAGCGGUUUAGUUUACUUAGGAAGGAAAACUAGACGGUCUCCUUCUCCUGCUUCUGCCCUCCGAGCUGCCUCCAGAGGGGUCGUGAGGACUGCGGUCUCCCCCCUCCUUCCAGGCAGGGGCUCCGGCCCCCCUCGCACACUGCACACUCGGGCCGCAGGCCGGGCUCUGCAUGGGGCCAGGGCAGUGGCUACUCCACCCGGACUUCCUGCAGCCACCAGCCGUCCAGGCCCCGGGCCAGUUCCUGCUGCUCUGGCGUGUCUCAGCGCCGCCGAGUCCUGAGUAACUGGAAUGUGACUGUUUCUGUAGGACGCGCCUCGAAUGAGCAGAGCGGAGAACAGCGCUUCCUGUGGUCCUGGCUCCUCCCUGAGUCCUCCUGCCACUCGUAGGUCGGUGUCUUGGGUCUCAAGGUUCCCAAGGCCGGCGUCCGCUCGUCCUGAGUGACGGCGUGGCCCUCCAGCUGCUUCUGGCCCCUCUUGUGUCUUAUCCUCACGUGGAGUCCUUCUGUCCGUCGCUGUGAAUCAGUCACUCCACCACAUUCAGUUGGCGCUUAACAGUGGCGCGGAACACAGCCGAGUAAUUAAUUACCCCGAAUUGUCCAGGGUGCGGGGUCUGCAUGUGAGAUGGUUUGGGGUCACAUUGCUGUGCCUCUCGUGUGGGUGUGUGUCGUCCACAUGCUGCGGGUUGGUGACCCUGCCCCGUACCCCUGCCUCGGUGUCCGUGUGUCCCUGUGCACACGGCACUCCCUCCCGAGGCCCUGGGGACACUCCUGGUAGCCGGGCCGAGUCUUCCUUCCCGAGAGAGUGUAAUUCAGUAGACGGAAGGGCCCGUGUUGGCAGGAGGUGAGGGCCAGGCAUGUUUUACUCCACAGAAAAUGUAAAUGCUGCUUUUGAAGCUUAGCUCCCCAUAUCUUCCCCCUCUGGCCUUUGUCACAAAUCUGGUAGAAAGAAGCCUGAUGAACUGAUGGCACUUGGCUUUUCUCCCUCUGCCCCAGAAAGUUCUUGGAGAAAAAUGCAAGAAUGAGUGAAGCGGCCAAAUGGCAGGGUCAGCCUUCGUUCUAGGCUCUGGCCACUCUGGUCACUCGUGGAAGCUUUAUUCUCAGUAUCACUUGUGAAUCUUCCAGCGGGAGGAUUAUAAGAGCCCAAAGCUUGGAUUUCCAAAGAAAGAGGCAGAGAGCGUGAGGGAAAGAGGGUGUCCAAGAAAGGUGGCAGGUUGAGAGGUGUUUUUUCUCUUUUUCGUUCUGGCUGAAAUUUCCCCGUGUGACACCCCCCAGCAGACUGCACGACUGACGUUUCAGCCAGCAGCGCUCGUGGCUCUCCAGCCAAGAAGGUGUGUCUCAGCAUCUCACGGGGCGAGCGCGUCCUGACACGUGGUCCCCUUCCUCACCCAGAGCCGCGAAGCGCCGCGCAGAAGGGCAGUGGCUGCCUCGAGAAGCCCCCCGCCCUCCCCCCCGGAAAGAGCGCCUGGGGUCCCGGGAUGGGGCCUGUUGAGAGCGGGUCUUCGUACCGCUGCCGAGGGUUUUCUCUUCUGUGCGUGGGGCGGUGCUGCCAGGAACGGCGUUUGGUGGGCGCCUCCGAAGUCAGUGGGCUCUCUGAUCACACCCCUCCUUCCUGGCCCUGAGCUGGACAUGCGCACAGACACGUACACACACAGACCUGCCAGACAGACACACGGACACAGACACACAGCCAAAAGUAACCGCCGGAAGUGCCCGACGGGUUCACAUCCCAGCCCCUCCCGCACUCGGUUCCACGGCUCGGCUACGUUUUCCUGCAGGGUCAGGAGUUCCACAUUUCCAGUGACGCGCCCUCCGGGACACCGUGUCUCCUUUUAUCUGUGCACCAGCCCCAAACAGUCACAUUGGAAAGACCCGCUUGUGGUGAGGAAGCGCGCCUUCCUGCCGCCCGUGGCCCCCUCCCUGCGUGUCCACGGCCUUGUGAAAGCCCACGCGGGGUCCCCGGGACCUGUGCCAAAGUGAGGGGUGCGGGGUCUCCGGGGAGGCAGCGGGGCCCUGAGCCACCCCCCCGCCCCGGGCGGGGAUGGGGGCCUCGGGCAGGAGCUCGAGCCUCCGCACGGCCCCCGGCUCACCUGCUCGCCCCUCCUCUGCCCGACUUUGGGCCGGCUUUGCUUUUACAAACCCAGAGGGCCCCGUGACGGAGCCAUCUUUCCAGGCCGUUGUGGAGAAGCUGCUGAGUUUAUACUGUCGUCAGGGUCACUCGCGUCUCCCCCACUCUGGGUUUUGUCCCGUUGAGUCCGUCUCCAUCAGGUGAUCGGCUUUCUGGCUCCGUGUAGUUUGGACACCACGGGCCUCGCCCUGCCCUGUGUCCACAGGUGACCGCAGCACUGCGGAGGCUUCUCUGCCCACCCCGAGCCCCCGGGCCCGUGACACUCCCUUCUCCACCUCUGACACGUCUGUUCACACCUGGGAGGGGCGCGGGCCCAGCAGGAGCCUCGCGAUGUGUUUGCUGUGCUUUGUGCAUGGCGUCGGGGCGGACGGCGGGAGGCGGGGGGGGACCCGGGCUGUACCAGGUCGCCUCCCCUCCACCCCCUCCUCCCGGCAGCCAGGGUGAGUUGACAGGUCUUGCCGUCCCGCCUAGGAUGGCGUCUAGCCUGAUGUAGGCAGAGCUGCCAGCAUCGGCUGUGUGGACACGUCUCCUAAUGGCCCCACCCAGACUGUAGGCGAGCCCACGGGCAUUUGAGGGGCCUCACUGCUGGAGAAAAGCUGCCUGGCUUCAUGCUGGGACCUGUCUUUCCUGACCUGGGUGCCCCGCUUUGACACAUUAAGAGCCGCUUGUUCUGUUGGCACCCGAGAACCACCCCCGUGGAGACAGGAGGGAGGGGACUUGGUGCCAGGCCCGGUGGCCCGGGUGCUCUAGGAUGGAUGGAGAGGCAUGACCACCAUGACCACACUCUUUGGGCGCAGGCGUGUGACGCUUGUGUGAGUUAACUUCAGAUGGAACUAAAUAUGUGUUGUGCAUAAUUGUUAGGUGUAAUUUAAAAUGCAUCUGUUUGCCUUGGUAAUGAGAGUAUUGUAUGUAAGGCUCCUUAGGGAGAGCAAGAUGUACAUUUUAUCAGACUCUUGUGGACUUUUUUGGGUAACGAAAUGCUUUAUUGGUCCAGUGGUGCAAGAAGCUACAUACAUUCUGUAUCUCAUCAUCGUAGUUACAAUACCUAAUGGGAGGUUAAGGCAGAAAACAAAAGUCAACUGACCUUCCUGUUCAUCACUAUGGCCCAGUCUGUGCCCGUUGCUUCGCUGGGUGACAGUGCUCUUUCAAGAGGGGCGUGGACUGGCCAAGGGUCUCGGGGCGCAGUUCUCCGGAGCCCCCCUGGCCCACCCUGUAAAUGUGUUGAACUGCUGAAAACCCCCAUGAGAUGAAAGACCUUGGCUUGAAGUCCAAAUGGGAUUUCUCCAAACAGAGUCAGGGAGGAGGGCUGGGAAGAUGCAUUCAGACUUUGUUAAAUUAUUAACAAGGUAUAUGAUUUUGUGUUUCUUGAUGACAAACUUUUUAAGUUUGGGGCUUAUUUUCCCAUUGGAGAAGUUAUAUAUUUAAGAUAAGUUUCCUGCUUACGUUGUGCCUUUCAGCCUUGAUGGGUCUAAGGAGCACAGAGGGUGAUGAUCUUCUUGAGGGUUGGUUUCUAAUCAAACCUGAAGAGCUGUGGUUUCUUCAGUACACUUUUUCUUCUACUGAACGUGGAGCCAUUAUUAAGAGAAUUGUGUGUUUUUUAUUAUGUAAAUUGUAUAAUAUUUUUGCUUGUUUGAUGUUCUGUUUUUCUAAUAGUUUUCUUAUAGUUUCUUAUAACUGUGAUACUAGAUUUAGAUUCUGACGCUAACUGCAAAUCAGAUGGGCCUCUGCUGGUCCCCCCGUUUUUAUUUUAAGGACAAGAGUAGAUGUCGUCCAUCACCUUUAAAAAAUGUGAACUUCUGCUCUGUAUCCCAGUUUUGCUGACAACACUGCAUUGAUACCGUACUUCAUGUUGUAAAGUCAAGCUCUUUUGUGGUACAUCCUCUCAUGCUUCCGCAAAUCCUAAUAAAUUCCGUCUAUGG